GGGUUUGAUCAUACUGAUGCUGCUGUAAAGUGCUUUAAAAGUUUCUGUAAUGACAAUGACGGUUGCACAUUUGGAUGUUUCGCCCAUGGUUGUGGUUCCAAACAUUUCUGUAAUGUACAAGAUAGGCAAUGUUGCUGUGAUGGUUGUAUCUCCGAUUAAUAACCUAGAAAAAUCAGAACUUUAAAUUUUGUAAAGUGCCGAGUAUGCGUUUAUUCGUGCAUAUACAAUUAUAACAUAAGUCUAUGAUUAAAAAGUUUUGGCAUUUUGAUUGGUAGUUAUAUUAAUUGUUACCCAUCAUCAUAAAUCAUAAUAUCUGAACAUUUCAAUUGUCGAACAGGAAAAUUUUUUUAAUACUGUAUUAUGCCUUAUGAUUUUGUGCACUGCAAAAAAAAUUCUUUUGGACGACAGUUGCAUUUCUAAAUAUAUAAUUAUUAUUAACUAUAAUAUAAUGAAC
Molecule: long non-coding RNA, 454 nt
Filed under: Mytilus galloprovincialis (Mediterranean mussel)
Lineage: Eukaryota; Metazoa; Mollusca; Bivalvia; Mytilida; Mytilidae
Source: RNAcentral